RNAcentral lists this ribosomal RNA (492 nucleotides) under uncultured bacterium. RNAcentral describes it as "partial 16S ribosomal RNA". It matches the Rfam family "Bacterial small subunit ribosomal RNA", at positions 29 to 507 of the family's 1533-position model. The record is from RNAcentral.
AGUGAACGCUGGCGGUAGGCCUAACACAUGCAAGUCGAACGGCAGCACAGUAAGAGCUUGCUCUUACGGGUGGCGAGUGGCGGACGGGGGAGGAAUACAUCGGAAUCUACUUUUUCGUGGGGGAUAACGUAGGGAAACUUACGCUAAUAACGCAUUCGACCUACGGGUGAAAGCAGGGGAUCUUCGGACCUUGCGCGAUUGAAUGAGCCGAUGUCGGAUUAGCUAGUUGGCGGGGUAAAGGCCCACCAAGGCGACGAUCCGUAGCUGGUCUGAGAGGAUGAUCAGCCACACUGGAACUGAGACACGGUCCAGACUCCUACGGGAGGCAGCAGUGGGGAAUAUUGGACAAUGGGCGCAAGCCUGAUCCAGCCAUACCGCGUGGGUGAAGAAGGCCUUCGGGUUGUAAAGCCCUUUUGUUGGGAAAGAAAAGCAGCAGGUUAAUACCCCGCUGUUCUGACGGUACCCAAAGAAUAAGCACCGGCUAACUUCGUG